CGAUGGUUGUCGUCAGCUCGUGUCGUGAGAUGUGGUUAAGUCCGCAACGAGCGCAACCCCUACUUGUUAGUUGCCAUCAUUCAGUUGGGCACUCUAGCGAGACUGCCGGUAAUAAACCGGAGGAAGGUGGGGAUGACGUCAAAUCAUCAUGCCCCUUAUGACCUGGGCUACACACGUGCUACAAUGGUUGGUACAACGAGUUGCGAGUCGGUGACGGCGAGCUAAUCUCUUAAAGCCAAUCUCAGUUCGGAUUGUAGGCUGCAACUCGCCUACAUGAAGUCGGAAUCGCUAGCAAUCGCGGAUCAGCACGCCGCGGUGAAUACGUUCCCGGGCCUU
This 336-nucleotide ribosomal RNA is filed under the name uncultured Streptococcus sp. RNAcentral's name for it is "bacterial SSU rRNA". It matches the Rfam family "Bacterial small subunit ribosomal RNA", at positions 1042 to 1382 of the family's 1533-position model. Lineage: Bacteria; Bacillati; Bacillota; Bacilli; Lactobacillales; Streptococcaceae. The record is from RNAcentral.